CUUAUACUAUGGCGGUGACAGAGAAAUGUGAUGUGUACAGCUUUGGAGUUGUGGCGCUUGAAACUUUGAUGGGAAGGCAUCCGGGAGAUAUCCUAUCAUCAUCUGCUCAGGCUAUUACACUGAAAGAAGUGUUAGAUCCUCGUUUGCCACCUCCAACAAAUGAGAUUGUCGUACAAAAUAUAUGUACCAUUGCAAGUCUUAUAUUUUCUUGCUUACAUUCAAAUCCAAAAAAUCGACCUUCGAUGAAAUUUGUGUCUCAAGAAUUUCUAUCUCCCAAGAGAUUAUUGGGAGGUCUCGAGAUUUCUUUGUUGGAGCUUCGAAAUCUUGGCUGGCACACAAAUGUAGGUGAGAUCAUAGUUCCUCGCUGAAAAAGUCAACUUCGAGCUCACAUGGAACUUCAACGAGAGCGCCUCCAAGAGUAUGUGUUUAUAGAAUUUCUUAAUUUUGGAUGAACUUUUUUUCUUUUGUUUUGUUUUAGCACACUACACGACUUUGUAAUAUUUUAGUGUGACAUUGUAUGUAAUUCUAAUAAUGCACACUUUUCUUGUGCAUGAUAACUAGUAUCAAUAUAUAUGAGCAUCAUAUUAAGUCUACCUCUCUAUACGUCGAGGUUAAAUUGAAAUCAUCACUCAUCUUAUAAUUAGGCAAAUCCACACUUGAAAUAUGCAGAAGAUAUUUGUUAACUACAUUAAUUUGUCCCUGCAAGCUCUUGUAUAAUAGAUGCCUGAAAGUAGUGAUUGGAUCUACUCUCUACAGUCUGUUCUGACUCCUAUAACUAUCUGAGCAACAUGUUUUGUUUCCCCCCCCCUGAAUGAUGCACCUUAUUAUUUAUCAUUUGGCACAGAUUGAAUUUUCAAUCAUCUUCCACUCCAAAUGAAGAUUUACGUCUCAUGUUAGGGACCAAGCUUUGACCUCAAGGAUAGUGAGUCGAGAUGUCCACCCUCCAUAUACUAGAUAGACAUGCCCCAACAUCGGCCACCAUGUCUAUCUAGUAAAAUGUACAAGAUCCCUAGCUAUAGAUUAUUUUCAAUCUCAGAGACAUUUACUAACAGAGAAAAUAUAUCAUAGUAUCCGAUUAUGAGUGUCGCACGUGUGCAGCGUCGCGGCGAAAAUAACAUAGUUGUUUGUUUUCAUUUUCUUAAUCUACAAUGUAAAUCUAUCUAUAUCUAUGGGGAUACAAGAAAAUACUGUCUUUUAUUGGUAGAAAAUGGAAUGGGAGUCGCCACCUAGUAUUUUGGUCACUAGGAACCCUAACUGGUCUCAGAGAUCGGGUACGGGGACUGGUUGCGUAAAGAAAAGGUAUUAGCACCCCAAAUACGCCCUAUCUAAGGUAAGCUGCAUUGUUUUAUUGUCUGAUAAAAUCUAAGGUCUUUUCGUGUUUUCCUAGUUGCUUGUAUGGUUUAAGAAAAGUCCUCCCCUGUAAGGAGAUCCUUAUCUUAAAGGGUAAUCCUAACCGUUCUAACUUCUAUACCAAAACUUUAUUAAUAGUAUUUAGGAAUACGUUUUACAUAUAAAUUCGUAAUCCCAAAUACUACAAGAAAACAAAAAGAUUUUUUUAGAAUUUUUGAAAUAUUGGCCUAAUUCUCAUGGCUUGAAUAAACUGGUUAUUAAAGCCAAAAUGCAUGCUAAUACAUAUAUUGUUUUGAGAAUUUUCUUUGUUGUGUGAAAAUAUGAUGUUAUAAUAUUUAUAUAUAUAUAUUGGAGAGACUAGGCCGUAUUUUAAAACAAAAACAAUUUUUUUUGAAUUUUUUUUUUAUGCUUUGACGAAAAUUGGGUAUUUUAAUAAUGAGUUUGUAUCCUUACGGUAUAAAAAUACUAACCAACAUUAAUCCACCUUAAUAAAAAAUAUGCAGGAAAAAUCAACAAUAUUUUUAAAGAACUUUUGGAAUUUUUUGAAAGUAAAAACAUUUUUUAUUUUGAAAAUCUUUGAUGUUUUGACGAAAACCGGGUAUUUUAAUACUGGAUUUAUAUCUUUACGGUAUAAAAAUACAAACCAACAUUAAGCCAUUUUGACAAAAAUAUGCAGGAAAAUCAAUAAUAUUUUUCAAGAUUUUUUAGAAUAUAUUUUUUAAAAUAUACAUACAUAUAUAAUAUAAUAUAAUAUAUAAUAGUAUAUAAUAUAAUAUAUUAUGUGGGCCGGCCCGGCCCAACCGAAUGGGCCAGACUCAGCCCAGCAGGAAUGGGGCCGAUUUCGGCCCAGAAUGGAUUGGGCCGAUCUCGGCCCAAUAAAAAACUCAUAUCUAGGCCGGACUUGGCCCAUAUAGCUGGGAUGGGCCAGACCUGGUCUAGCCCAUCAAACACAGGGAUGGGCCAGACCCAGUCUGGCCCAAAAAAAUGCUGGGCCAGGAUCCGCCUGGCCCAGCUACGCAUCGUCAGGGGGGAAAUUAUUUCCCCCCUCCUCCUGCAUGCAGAACGUUCGUUCUGCAUGCAGGGAAACAAAUUAAAAUGCCAACAGCUAGGGGGGAGAAGAAGUUACCUGGCGUGGAAGAGGCGGUCGCGGGUGGUGCUGCGGUGGAGGCCGGUGGUCGUCGUGGCUCACGGACGGCGGCUCCCAGCGGCGGUGCUGCUGCUCAAACGGCGAAAAAAAGAUUUUCUUCCUCUUCCCCUCUUCUUUUUUUCGUUUUCGGUAUUUCUUUCUUUUCCUUCCUUUCUCUUUGUUUUCUGUUUUCUUUUCUUUUGUUUUCGAUUUAUUCUUUCCUCUUUUCUCUCUCUCUUCGGUCUCCUCUCUCUCUCCUCCCUUCGGUCCGUUUUUUUUCCUUUUCUUUUUGUUCUCUCUUUAUAGGUGAGAAAAGGCGUUGGGACCGUUAUUAGUGCGCCUGGGGAGCGGGUUUCGCGGCGGCUGGUCGGCCGCCACCCGCGACAGCAAGGCACCGUUCCUUUACUUUCGGCCGGUGGUCGGCCAAUGACUUCGGUCGGUGGUCCCACGGUGUGGGGCUUCGGGCUGUUCGGUGGAGAUGCAGAGGAGAGAGGGGUGGGAAGAUUUUCAAAAACAAAGUUUUCUUCCUUCUGUUGCAGGUUCGGGGGGAGGGGAAGAAGAAAGGGGAACAGUGUCGUUCAAAACGGCACCGUUCAGUCUUUUUUUUUUUUUUUUUUAUGUAUGAAACAACGUCGUUUUGGAGAAAACGCGCCGUUUCAUUUAAAAAUGGCCCUAGAACGCGCCAAAUUUCCAACUUAGGCCUCAAUCAUCUUUGUUCAUUUCAAUUGCGUCCCUGCCAAUUUCGAUCCCCGCCCCCAUAGUUGGCCGCGAUUUUCACUUUGGUCCUUGGCCUCUGAUUUAUGCAAUUAAGCCCUCAAUUGAUCAAUAAGCUUCCAAUUUCUUCAAUUAGGCCCCUGAAUCAAUUCAAAACAGCCCCCCCUCUAUUUACCCGCUUUUUCCAAAUUGGUCUCUGGUUUCGAAUUUUCACAAUUAAACCCCUAAUUGGCCAUUAAACUUCAAUAUUUAUGCAAUUAAGCCCCUGAUUUGACCCAAUAAAUUCCUAAAAAAUAUAUUUUGGCCCCAGAACUUAAAUUUCUUCUAAUUAAAGCCCAAAUUGACUUAAAAAUCGAUUUUUCUUGCAAUCAAAUCCUCUAUAAAUUCAAAUAAAAAUCCAAUUAAGUCCAUAAACAUCCAAAUUUGAACUUUUCUCCUCAAACUUCCAAUUUUCUUAUCCAAUAGGGCUCUCAUCAUUCAAGAAUAUAUUGUCAAAAAUCCAUCUUUGUAUUUUUAAUCUCCUUGACCGAUUUUUCUGACCAUUUGCUGAGCGCUUCUGCCUCCUGAUAUUUUUCUAACCUCCUUUGGCUAUUUAUUUUAUUUCAUUUAUUUGGGGACCCGAAAAUGGGUUACAACAAUGAGCACAUGAUUUCUUCGUAUCAGCAUCUGAUUUAUAAAAUAUUGAAACCAAUUUUUAAAGUUGAAAUUCUUUACCUUUGUCGCACCCCCACAAAAAAACAAAUUUCAAUUUGCGAUUUUACGGGUUCGACUGGCGAAUUUUUAUUUUUUGGUUUGAUUUGGUUCUUUGGAGUCGCCACCUAGUAUUUUGAUCACUAGGAACCUUAACUGGUCUCAGAGAUCAGGUACGGAGACUGGUUGCGUAAAGGGAAGGUAUUAGCACCCCAAAUACGCCUUACCUGAGGUAAACUGCAUUGUUUUAUUGUCUGAUAAAAAAAAAACUAAAGUGUUAUUAUGUUUUUCUAGUUGUUGGUCUGUCUAUGGUUCAAGAAAAAUCCCCCUCGGUAAGGAGGUCUUUAUCUUAUCGGGUAAAAAUCCUAACCGUUCUAACGUCCAUACCAAAAUUUUAUUAAUAAUAUUUAGGAAUACGUUUUACGUAUAAAUUCGUAAUCCCAAAUAUUAAAAGAAAACAAAAAGAUUUUUUUUAGAAUUUUUGAAAUAUUGGCCUAGUUCUCAUGGCUUGAAUAAACUGGUUAUUAAAGCCAAAAUGCAUGUUAAUACAUAUAUUGUUUUUUGAAAAUUUUCUUUGUUGUGUGAAAAUAUGAUGUUAUAAUAUUUAUGUAUAUAUAUUGGAGAGACUAGGCCGUAUUUUAAAACAAAAACAAUUUUUGGAAAAUAUUAUUUUUUUUAUGCUUUGACGAAAAUCGGGUAUUUUAAUACUGAGCUUGUAUCCUUACGGUAUAAAAAUACAACCCAAUAUUAAUCCAUUUUGAUAAAAAUAUGCAGAAAAAUCAACAACAUUUUUAGGGACUUUGUAGAAUUUUUUGAAAGCAAAACAUUUUUUAUUCUGAAAAUCUUUGAUAUUUUGACGAAAACCGUGUAUUUUAAUACCAGAUUUGUAUCUUUACAAUAUAAAAAUACAAACUGAUAUUGACCAAAAUACAGUAAUAAAAUUACAGAAAAAUCACAAAUUCUUUGAAAUAUCUUUUUUUGAAAAUUUUUUAUUUUUUUUUAUAUAUAUAUAUAUAUUUUUUUGGGUGAGGCCCACGUGGCUGGGCUGCACCCAGCAAGCCUCAUGUGAACAGUGAAUCAUGUCUUAUGUGAACAGUGAAUAGCAUUUCACUGUUCAAUUGAAUUAUAUUUGAUGUGAACAGUGAAUUAACAUUUCACUUGAACAGUAAAAUGCAAGGAAAUGGUGCAUGCACAGCGACGAAAGGGGGUGCAAACCUGGUGGCAGAAACGAUGCCGAAGUCGAUGGCUAACACUCCCAGUGAUGCUGGUGGCGGUGGACAGGAAGCCAAUGGGGGUUCACGGUGGUUCUGACGGUGGCAGUGGUUGGGAAGCUCGAUGACAGCAGCUGCCUUCUCUUCUUCUUCCCCUUUACAGAGGCGUUUCUUCUUCUCUUGGUUUCUUUCAGUCAGCAAUGUUCUUCCCUCUCUAUGGCAGCUUUGUGAAGGCGCUGGUAGUGGUGGCCGGGGAGUGACUGGGACGGUGGUCGGUGACUGUGGAGUGUGGUGUUCAGCCUUUCUCCCUUUUCUUCUCUGCGUUCCUCUUCAGCUGUCUCCUCCUCUGUGUGCUGGGUUGGGCGCUAUUUAUAGAGCCAGUGGGCGUGGCUUCACCGUGGAGCCAAGGAGCGGGUCGGGGAGCGGCUCAUGUGAACAGUGAAUAGUAUUUCACUGUUCACGUGAAUUAUAUUUGAUAUGCACAGUGAUCUUAGCAUUUCACUGUUCACGUGAAUUAUAUUUGAUAUGCACAGUGGACUAGCAUUUCACUGUUCACGUGAAUUAUAUUUCACUUGAACAGUGAAAUGCAAGGAAAUGGUGUAUGCAGAACGACUUCCAAUUUUAAGAAUAAAAUUCAAUUGCGUCCCUGCCAAAUUCGAUCCCUACCCCUAUAGUUGGCCGCGUUUUUCAUUUUGGUCCUUGGCCUCUGAUUUUCACAAUUAAACCCCUAAUUGAUCAAUAAGCUUCCAAUUUCUUCAAUUAAACCCCUGAAUCAAUUCCAAACAGCCCCCUUUAUCUUUGCGCCUUCUCCAAAUUGGUCCCUGGUUUCGGAUUUUCACAAUUAAGUCCCUAAUUGGCCAUUAAACUUCAAUAUUUAUGCAAUUAAACCCCUGAUUUGACCCAAUAAAUUCCUAAAAAAUAUAUUUUGGCCCCAAAACUUAAAUUUCUUCUAAUUAAAGCACAAAUUGACUUAAAAAUCAAUUUUUCUUGCAAUCAAAUCUUCUAUAAAUUCAAAUAAAAAUUCAAUUAAGUCCAUAAACAUCCAAAUUUGGGCUUUUCUCCUCAAAAUUCAAAUUUUCCUUCUCAAUAGGGCUUUCAUCCUUCAAGAAUAUACUGUCAAAAAUUCAAUCCUUGUAUUUUUAAAUUCCUUGACCAAUUUAUCUAACUGUUUUCUGAGCGCUUCUGCCUCCUGUUAUUUUCUAACCUCUUUUGGCUAUUUAUUUUAUUUUUCAUGGGGACCCAAAAAUGGGUUACAACAACCUUGUUAUCACAUUGAUCAUCCCAUUAAUUUCCCCUUCAUGAUAUCCUUAAAUAAGAAAAAGCUUAGGGUAUGUGCAACUGUCCUGAAGCUCUUAGACAAUCCAGGAGAAAAAAUUUAUUUGGCACAUCAUAUAUUUCCUUGGACGGUCGUUCAUAAAUCGUAUAUGCUAAAUGUUUUACAUACUCUAAUUAUAACAAAUGAUUAUGUAUGACAGUUCACAUUCUCCUGCAUGAAAGCUCUAUGUACCCAUUAUCUUGGUGACAAUUGACAAGUCGCCGAUGCAAUUCUGCAAUUAUAUUAGAAUGCAAGGAUGAUAUAUUUAUUUAGGAUUUUAUAAAUUAUCCCAUGGCUGUGUAUAUUCAAUAAUUUUGUUUAAUGAUUACAGCCCCACAUCAGUUUCUUGUUCGAGGCUUUUCGGGCCUUCAAUUGAACCUAAACAAAAACAAACUAUUCCAACAUGAACACGAAACAAAGCCGAAGAAGCUAUGGGCUUAAUUAAGCCUUUUUAUACGAGCAAGACGAAUCAGCACGAGAUUUCAAAUUCCUGCAAGAAUUACUAGAACCCACAAACGUGGCAACUCAAGGGCCUCAUCAUCCAAAACCAAAAUGCAAGUACUCCCCUAAAAGAUAAGAUUGUAGGGUUGUACAGGUCUCCUUCUGCAAUUACUUGUCAAGUCCUCCAACUAUUGCCUAAUUCUUAAUCAAGUCCCUCAAUCCAAAUUGGAUAUCCAUCACACAUUAUCCAAUUCACCCGUCACCAUAAAAAAAAUUAAAAAUUGAAAUAACUAAUUUGUUUAAGAUGGAUGGUUCUAUGGUUCUGAUUUACAAAUCUUGAGAUCAAACUUAGAAUCCCAUGAAAGUCUUUGGUUUAGAAUAAAUAAAUCAUCUCUUUUUAGAUUAAAAGUUACUUCUAACACGAUAAUAAAAAAUAGUUAAGUCUAGUUUUAUGAUUUUAAAGAAAAACAUUUAAAAUCAAAAGUCAGUUUAAAAAAGAUCACGAGUAAUUCAUUCUAAAUAUUUACAGUAAACGGAGCCAGAAUUUCAAGAGCCUUUGAUUAUUAAAAUUAACACCUCACUUAAAAUCCAAACAAAUUUAGAAACGCGAGAAAGUCGUUCAGAUAAGGCUGAAAAAAGAAAAAAGAAACCAACGAUUUUUCAAUCUUCCCGCUUAUUGCUUAAUCAAGCAGAGAUGGUGGUUGCUUAGAUUUUCUCCUUCAAUUAUAGUUUAUCGUUCAGUUUCAACCAUAAACAGGCAAGACUCCCACGAAUCCAGGCUGUUUUCGGACACCAAUUAAGAAAUCUGAGAUAUCUCUUCACAUUGCCCUCAAUUAUUUGGUUGUGUCAUCUAGCAGGGCUCUUCUGAGAACGAUAGAGAUUUCUUUGGAUCUGAUGAUUUUGGUCUGAAGCCAAUCAGAACGGAAUCCACAUCAACAACGAAUACUUUCCAGAAAAAGAGUAUAUUUUUUGAAGAAUCUGUUGCAGGUUCCCCAAUGUCAAGAUUUGGCAACUCUCCAAGGUUCAGCGAAGCAGGGGACCAUUUUGACAAUUACUCGAGAUUUGAUUCCUUCAGCAUGAAUGAAGGAGGCUUUUCACCACGAGAAAAGCUUACAAGGUUCGACUCCAUAAACAGCUCCAAAGAUUUUGGCCACAGCCGUGCAUUCUCUUCAUUUGGGUUUUGCAUGUCGGAUUUGGCCCCGAUUUGAUGAUUUUUUGGGUGAAUCUAUUUUAUCUAUAACGUAGUAAGUAAAUAGCUAUUCCCGGAAUAAUAAAGGAAUGUUGAAGUUGAUUCGGCUUUUCCCGGGGAAAAGAUAAAAAGAUCAUUCCUUCUGUAUUUUGGAAUGCUAGAUAUAGGUACGGUGCUCGUAUUGUUUGUUUUCUUCACUAGAGUUUACUGCCCAACAUAAUUCCUGCUUCUUUAUUUUAUUUUCCCCGAAGAAGUUUAUAUAUGGGCAUGGUGCUCAUCAAAUGCAAUAGAUUUUGGAAAUGUAAACAAAAGUAUUUUCUGACAUUACGAGAGGGCUACGGUGCUUGUGCUGGAGUUUACUGCCCCACCUAUCAAAUUGCAGUGGUCAUAUGCAAAGAAAAGUCACUAAAAAGAGCAUCAUCAAUAUUCCAAGAAAGAUGGUCCUUCCAUAAUCAUCGAGUUAAUGGACCACAUACCGACACUGACAUUAAUUGUGUUUUCUUGUAGAAACAGAAAUGGGCCUUCUUCUUAUUACCAUAGGCAUGCUAAUGUGGCUGAUAUUUUUCCAGGACAUUAAACCAUGUCUGGUUGCUCUCCCAAUACUGACAAUCUUGACUCAAACUACUUCAAGGAAAGUUUGCCCAUUGCAUGCUCUUGGAAGCAGCCGGAUUAUCUACUCUAUUUAUGAAACAAAGGGAAUACAAGACGUGGAAUGAGUCCAUGAAAAAGCCAUGGACGUAAAGGUUUCAAAUUGCACAUCAUAGUAGGAACCGAACCAUGGACAUUAUUUGAACUGAGAUCUAAUGUUUUCAAAUUUUCCAUGUUCCUAUUUCAUAAAGGAUGGAUCCGUUGAUUUUAUUGAAAGAAAGGUCAAUAUAUCUCAAACUGGUUAAACUGUCUACUCUGGAAUGAAUGGAACCACUGAUAAUGUUUGAAUCGGGAUCUAUGGCUUCCAAAUUUGCCAAGUUUCAUAUUUUCAAAUGGAUGUAUCCGUUGAUUUGAUUGGAAUAAGGCUUUAGAUAUCUCAAAAUGGUUAUACUAAGGUUGUUAAUUUUAUUUUGUUCUAUCCGGAAUGACCGGUAUUCUUGUUCCAGUUAAAAAAACAAAAUAAACCGAAAUAAAUUUCAUGUCAAUCAGAAUCUUGGCCUGUUCUUGAAAUAAAUCGGCCUGUUUUAUUUGGUGUUAUCCUGGUCUCAGUAUCUGGAUCAUAAAUUAGAAAUAUUAACCUGAGUCGAUCUAAUAUGUUCUCGUCUUAAUAUUUUUUAAGAAAAAAUAUACAGUCUUGAAUUUUUUUUAGUCAAACGAUAUUUUUAUCAAUCGUCCAUAUUGUCUUCAAACCUAUUUAGUUGAUCGGGUCAUAUUCAUUCAACUCUUAUUUUUUUUACUUGUGUUUAAAAUUUAAAAAACAUAAUUUCAAGUUAGUUUUUUAAAUUGUCUAAUGAAAAAGGAAUCGAACAAGUGAUGUAGAGAAAGUCCAUACAAAUUCUUCGAAUUCCCAAUUUCUGAAGGGAUCGAACCUGUAAUCUUGAAAGACUGAUGUAGUUGUGGUGUAGAGAGAGUCCAAAACCGGUGUUUAUUGUCUAGCUUACACUGGUAAGCAAUUCAUAGCACCAAAAAUUAAGAACUGAAGAAAUGCAAUGCCAAUUGUCAUGGUGAAGCAGCGUCAAAUAAAAUGGAACUUGAACAGUGUGAGUUCAUGGGUGAAAAUGAGAGCAUGAAAUUUCACCACCAUUGUUUUCUCGUACUUCUCAGUUUGUUUUUAUUGGUCUCAACAAUCUGUCACUCAAAAGAACAGGCAUUCUAUUUUUGAUCACGAACAGUAGCAUUUGAAAACUAAGAAGGCCAGGCAGUCAAUCCAUCCUUUCAUGAAAAAUAAUCGCUCGCGUCUUGGAGACCAUGUUUGCGUCUAAUGCUUGCCUGCGAAAUUUAUGAAUGAAUUAAGUGCAUGGUUUUUUCAUGGACUCAUUCCACGUCUUGUAGGCCCUUUGUUUCAUAAAUAGAGUAGGCUAGUUACAUGUCCCGCGCGAUGCCGCGGGUCAAUUAUUUUUUAUAUUUUUUAAAAAACUAAAAUUUGAAAGUGUUAGGUCUUUUUACAAAAUUAUACCCAAAAGUCUUAGGUUUGGUUGCAACGCCUAAACCAAGAGUAAUAUCUAUAAUAUUAAUAAUAACAUUAAACUUGCAUGACCCAAAUUUAAGUAGGUUUGGCUACAAUACCAGACCUAAUAGCAUUGGACGUGGGUCUAGUUGCAAGGGUGUGUCAUAAAAAUGUGAUAAUUAAAUAGAUUAAUUAAAAAGAAAAAGACAGAAAAAAAAACCAACAGAAAGAAAAAAACUAAUGAAGAAAAAGAAAAAAAAUAUAUGCAUUAACUAGGUUAACCCUUCAAACCAGGUUAACCCGUCAAACCUUAGAUUCACGUCGUAAAAGUUUGAUAACUAAAUAGGAAAAAACAAAUUAAUGGGUUAACCCAGAAUUAACCGGGCUAACUCGUCAAAUCAGGUUAACCCGUCAAACCCGGAAUCCGUGUCAUGAAAGUUUAAUAACUAAAUAGAAAAAAAAAUUUAACAUUAACAAUUUAAAUUAAACAAAAAAAUUAAUUAAAAAGAAAAAAAAACAAAAAAAAACUAAAGGCAUCAGCCUUUUAACCGUGGACUGCACUGUGCAAUCCAUAGUCAAAUGCAUAAAAAAAAAAAAAAAAAAAAAAAAAACUAAAGACAUCAGCCGAGAACUAUAUAGAAAAAAAUUUAAUAUUAAUAAACUAAAUUAAUUAAAAAGAAGAAAACCUCUAAGAAGUAAAAAAAAUACUAAAUAGAAAAAAAUUUAACAUUAACAAAUUAAACUAAACGAAAAAAAAAUUAAAAAGAUAAAAAAAGCAAAAAAAACAAUUUAAGGUUAACUCGGCAAACCAGGUUAACCAGUUAAAUCUGGGAUUCGUGUCAUGAAUAUUUGAUAACUAAAUAAAAAAAAAGUGAACGUUAACAAACUGAACUAAACAAAAAAAAUUAAUUAAAAUGAAAAAAAAAUUUGGGUUAACUCGUCAAACCAUGUUAACCCGUUAAACUCAGGAUCUGUGUCAUGAAAGUCUGAUAACUAAAUAAAAAAAUUAACAUUAACAAACUAAAUUAAACAAAAAAAAUAUAUGAAAAAAAAAAAACAAAAUUGACGGGUCAACCUAGAAUUAACUGAGUUCACCCGUGAAACCAGGUUAACCCGUGAAACUCGAGAUAUAUGUUAUGAAAGUCAGAUAACUAAAUAUAAAGAAAUUUAAUAUUAACAAACUAAACUAAACAAAAAAAAAGCAAAAAAAUAAUUUCUAAGUUAACUUGUCAAACCAGGUUAAUGUGUUAAACUCAGAAAACAUUUCAUGAAAGUUUGAUAACUAAAUAAAAAAAAUUUAACAUUAAUAAACUAAAUUAAACAAAAAAAAAGAAUUUGUUAAAAGAAAAAAAAAAGAAAGAAAAAAAAAAAUAAUCCCGAAAUGCAUUAAAAAAAACAACUAAAAAAAUAAGACAACUUAAAAAAAAAACUAGUAUAUGUUACAAUAAUCCGGUUGCUUCCAAGAGCAUGCAAUGGGCAAACUUUCCUUGAAGUAGUUUGAGUCAACAUCGUCACUAUUCGCCCCCGCGCGCGCGCGCACCCAACUGAACUUGCACGUCAAUGUAGACUAAUAAUCAGCUUGUCCUAGCCUACAAGUCGAGUCCAACCUAACCAAUCUACUGUUAUUGUAAAAAAAUAAAAUUCAUAAGAAUUUAUAAUACAAAUAAUAAUAUGUUUUCAAUAUUAAUAAUAAUAUUUUCUUUCAAAUUUAUUAAUUUUUUUUAUUAAUAAUAUUAAUUAUAAUAAAAAUAAUAAUAUUUAUAAUACAAAUAAUUAUAUUUAGAAUCCUAGGACUGAGCGCCAAGUAGCUAUAGCCUGAAGGGGUGGCCAGUGGAUGUUGCAUGCCCAGCGCCCAAGGUAGCCAAGCGCUAGGUGUCCGCAACCUCAGUAGGCACGCCUCUAGCCUGAUGCUUGCAGCUUGAUAGUCGCAGCCUCACACAUGUUCCUGUUAAACAGUGCUGUACAUAAUAAAAAUUUAUAGUACUCCGUGCUACAGUAUGUAACAUUAUAAUCUAUAAUGAAUUCACUUACUUUGCACAAUAGCCUGCACUAUGGUAAAAUACUGAUAAGUAUUAGUAAGAGGAUAGCUUUUCCUGGAAUAAUAAUUGAAUGCUGAAGUUGAUUCGGCUUUUUCCGGGGAAAAGAAAAAAGAUAAUUCCUUCUGUAUUUUGGAAUGCUAGAUAUAGGUAUGGUGCUCGUAUUGUUUUCUUCACUUGAGUUUACUGCCCCACAUAAUUCCUGCUUCUUCAUUUUAUUUUCCCCGAAGAAGUUUAUAUAUGGGCAUGGUGCUCAUCAAAUGCAAUAAUAGAUUUUGGAAAUUUAAACUAAAGUAUUUUCUGACAUUACGAGAGGGCUACGGUGCUUGUGCUGGAGUUUACUGCCCCACCUAUCAAAUUGCAAAGAAAAGUCACUAAAAAAGAGCAUCAUCAAUAUUACAAGAAAGAUGGUCCUUCCAUAAUCAUCGAGUUAAUGGACCACAUACCGACACUGACAUUAAUUGUGUUUUCUUAUGGAAUCACACUAUUGCCGCUCCCAACACGGCAAAGUGACUAAGGUGGUGAUUUUUGUUGUGGUAGCUGGAGGUGGAGGAGGAGUGAGGGAGGUUGGUGUGAUGGAUAUGGAGUUACCAGUACACUACUAGUUGUGCUCUCAUCUAAGCAGCUUCGAUCCAUUUCUUUUUUUUCUUUUCAAAUAAAAAUGCAAUUGAUACUGUAAAAUUAGAGAGGUUUUUUUUUUUUUAAAGCAAAAAAAAUACUAUUUAGCCGGAACGGAACCGGAAUGCUCUAGCCAAAAUUUAAUCGAAAUAUUUUGUCUGAGAUUUUCAAAAUAGAUCGAGAUUCGGAUUAGAUGAAAUUUAUUUUGGUUUAUUUUGUUUUUUAAAGUGGAACAAAAAUACCAUUCAUUCCGAAGAGAACAUAAUAGAAUUAACAAUCUUAAUAUAAUUAUUUUGAGAUAUCUAAAACAUUAUUUCAAUCAAAUCAACGAAUCCAUCCCUUUAAAAAUAUAAAACUUGGCAAAUUUAGAAGCCAUAGAUCUCUAUUCAAAUAAUAUCAGUGGUUCCAUUCAUUCCAGAGUAGGCAAUUUAUCCAAUUUGAGAUAUAUUAACCUUUUUUCCGAUCAAAUCAACAGAUCCAUCUUUUAUGAAAGAGUGAACAUGGAAAAUUUGAAAACAUUAGAUCUCAGUUCAAAUAAUCCGGUUGCUUCCAAGAGCAUGCAAUGGGCAAACUUUCCUUGAAGUUGUUUGAGUCAAGAUCGUCACUAUUCGCCCCCGCGCGCACGCGCACCCGACUGACCUUGCACGUCAAUGUAGACUAAUAAUCAGCUUGUCCUAGCUUACAAGUUGAGUCCAACCUAACCAAUCUACUGUUAUUGUAAAAAAAAAAAAAAAAAAAAAGCAAUCCAAUUCCCAAUUCAAUAUAUACAGAAUCUAUAAAAAUUAAAAAUAUUACAUUGCAGCUACGAUUAUCUCUGGAAAAAAGUUUAAGAAAAAAAAGUAUACUUGCAUUAUUUACAAAUUAAAAUUUAAAAGCUGUUUGAAAACAUAGUUGAAAUUAUGUUUUUUUAAAAAUAAUUUUUUAUUUAAUUAUUUUUCUAAUAAAAAAUUUGAAUGUGGUGAAAAUAUAAAAAUUAACUUUUUUAUAUUAUUAAAUUGUUUUGAUGUGAUGAUGUGAAAAAUAAUUUUUUAAUAAUAAAAUUUUAUUAUUUUAAUAUAUUUUCAAACAAAAAAUAUUUUAAAAAAUAAUUAUUAACAUAAUCACAAAUAUGAAAUUUUCUUGCUUACUUUCGAAUCCAAAAUCUUGACCUUCAAUGAAAAUCAUGUCUCAAAAUUUUUUAUCAUGGUUCCUUGCUGAAAAUGCACAGGAUAUCAACAAACCUUCAAUGCACAUAAAUGUAGGAGAGAUAAUGUUUUCACUAUUUCAACUUAAAUCUACAAGACAUGGGCAGUACGAUGAUCAGAAUACGACUAUGUAUUAGCAUUAUUUUUCUACUCGGUCUCUUUCCACGAAAAUCAGGGAGAAUAGAAUAGAAUUAACUGCUGGCCUUCUUAAUUCCCAAAAUCCACUAUUGGUGAUUUGUAAGCCUUUUUCUUAAUCACAACGCGUGAAAGACCAGACGAUCUUGACUUGGAACGAGUCCAUGGGAAUUGAUGCCAUGCACUUUAUUAAUAAAUUUAGCAUUAUCAUUGAAGUGAAGCAUUAGACACAAACAUGGCGUCCAUUGUUUAUGAGCCAAAACUUCUUGCAAUUUUAAGCAUCUCAUUUUUCUUGUCCUGUAUUUUUGUAUCUGUGGCUGCACGUGAUGACUCGGCCUUGCUAGCAUCAGAAGGCAAGGCUUUGCUUGAGAGUGGAUGGUGGAGUGACUACAGCAACCUCACCUCACAUCGUUGCAACUGGACUGGCAUACUCUGUGAUCGGGCUGGAAGCAUCACUGAGAUUUCCCCACCUUAUCUAGUGGGAAAUAAGUUUGGAAAGAUGAACUUUUCUUGCUUCUCAAACCUUGCCCGUCUCGACCUGGCCAACCAUGAGCUCAGUGGGAGCAUCCCGCCUCAAAUUUCUAUCCUUCCUCAACUCAGAUACCUCAACCUGUCCUCAAAUAAUCUAGCAGGUGAGUUACCGUCUUCACUUGGAAAUCUCAGCCGAUUGGUUGAGCUUGAUUUUUCUUCCAAUUAUCUCAACUAUUCCAUCCCUCCAGAACUAGGCAAUCUUAAAAAUCUUGUUACUUUGAACUUGUCUUAUAACAGCUUCAGCGGCCCAAACCCUUCGGCACUUUGUCAUUUGGACAAUCUAACGCAUUUAUUUAUGGAUCAUAAUAGUCUCGAAAGUGCCCUCCCUAGAGAAAUAGGGAACAUGAGAAAUCUAGAGAGUUUGGACGUGAGUUAUAAUACACUUAAUGGUCCAAUCCCUCGAACAUUGGGUAGGUUAGCCAAGUUGAGGUCUUUGAUCAUUCGUUAUGCCAAAAUCAGUGGAUCCAUUCCUUUGGAAAUAGGAAAUUUGACCAACCUUGAAGAGUUAGACCUCUCUCACAACCAAAUCAACGGAUCCAUCCCUUUGGAAAUACAAAACUUGACAAAUUUCUUUUUAUCCAAUUUGAUUCUUCUAGAUCUUUCAUACAACCAAAUCACCGGUUUGAUUCCUUUUUCAUUAGGCAAUUUAACAAACUUGGCAAGGCUAGACCUCUCUCACAACCAAAUCAACGGAUCCAUCAUUGUAGAAAUACAGAACUUGACAAAUUUGGAGGAAUUAUAUUUGAAUUCAAACAAUAUCAGUGGUUCAAUUCCUUCAACUUUGAGCCUUUUAUCUAAUUUGAUUCUUCUAGAUCUUUCCUACAACCAAAUCACCGGUUUGAUUCCUUUUUCAUUAGGCAAUUUAACAAACUUGGCAAGGCUAAACCUCUCUCACAACCAAAUCAACGGAUCCAUCCUUGUAGAAAUACAGAACUUGACAAAUUUAGAGGAAUUAUAUUUGAAUUCAAACAAUAUCAGUGGUUCGAUUCCUUCAACUUUGAGCCUUUUAUCCAAUUUGAUUUUUCUAGAUCUUUCCUCCAACCAAAUCACCGGUUUGAUUCCUUUUUCAUUAGGCAAUUUAACAAACUUGGCAAGGCUAAACCUCUCUCACAACCAAAUCAACGGAUCCAUCCUUGUAGAAAUACAGAACUUGACAAAUUUGGAGGAAUUAUAUUUGAAUUCAAACAAUAUCAGUGGUUCGAUUCCUUCAACUUUGAGCCUUUUAUCCAAUUUGAUUUUUCUAGAUCUUUCCUACAACCAAAUCACCGGUUUGAUUCCUUUUUCAUUAGGCAAUUUAACAAACUUGACAACUCUAUACUUCUCUCACAACCAAAUCAACGGAUCCAUCCCUUCAUCUUUGAAGUAUUGUAAUAAUUUGUUCUCCCUAGAUUUAAGCUUCAAUAAUUUAAGUGAAGAGAUACCCUCCGAACUAUAUGGUUUGACCUAUUUAAAAUAUGUGAAUUUUCGUUACAAUAACCUCUCAGGCUCUGUUUCCUUCCAUUGGCUACAACUCUUUCAUGUGUAUUUCACCUGUGAUUCUCUUCAUAGCCAAAGAACCAACAAUCCUGAAAUUUUUCAAGAUACUGCAUUUGAGGGCAAUAAAGAUUUACACCCUGAUUUCUCACGUUGUCUAUCUAUUUACUCCCCACCUUCACAAACCUACUUGUUACCUUCAAAAGACAACAUAAGGAUUCAUUCCAUCAAGAUAUUUCUUCCUAUCACCACCAUUUCACUUUGUCUCUUGUGCCUCGGAUGUUGUUAUCUGUCUCGACGCAAGGCUACCCAACCCGAGCCAGCAUCAUCAAAGAAUGGAGACUUGUUUUCCAUAUGGAAUUAUGAUGGGACGAUUGCAUACGAAGACAUCAUUGCAGCGACCAAGAACUUUGACCUCAGAUACUGUAUCGGAACCGGUGGUUAUGGGAGCGUCUACCGAGCACAACUUCCAAGUGGGAAAUUAGUUGCCUUGAAGAAACUUCAUCGUCGAGAGGCAGAGGAGCCGGCUUUUGACAAGAGUUUCAAAAAUGAGGUGGAAGUGCUCACACAAAUACGUCACAGGAGCAUUGUAAAGCUUUAUGGAUUUUGUUUGCACCAGCGCUGCAUGUUUCUUGUUUACGAGUACAUGGAAAAGGGAAGCUUGUUUUGUGCCUUGAGAAAUGAUGUUGGAGCUGUGGAAUUGAAAUGGAUGAAAAGAGCAGGCAUCAUCAAAGACAUUGCUCACGCAUUAUCUUACUUGCAUCAUGACUGCAACCCGCCAAUUGUUCAUCGAGACAUAUCAAGCAGCAAUGUUCUGUUGAAUUCAGAAUCCAAGUCUUUUGUUGCUGAUUUUGGCGUGGCUAGACUUCUCGAUCCUGAUUCGUCCAACCAUACUGUACUUGCUGGUACCUAUGGAUACAUUGCCCCAGGUAAAAAUAUUUCUUCUUAACAUGCAUAUUUACCACUCAUGCACUGUAAAACUAAAGCAAACUCUCUUUUAAAUAUAUAUAUUAAUUUCGUUUUGUAUAUGGACAGAGUUUGCUUAUACUAUGGUGGUGACAGAGAAAUGUGAUGUGUACAGCUUCGGAGUUGUGGCGCUUGAAACUUUGAUGGGUAGGCAUCCGGGAGAUGUCCUAUCAUCAUCUGCUCAGGCUAUUACAUUGAAAGAAGUGUUAGAUCCUCGUUUGCCACCUCCAACAAAUGAGAUUGUCAUACAGAAUAUAUGUACCAUUGCAAGUCUCAUAUUUUCUUGCUUACAUUUAAAUCCAAAAUAUCGACCUUCAAUGAAAUUCGUGUCUCAAGAAUUUCUAUCUCCCAAGAGAUUAUUGGGAGGUCUCGAGAUUUCUUUGUUGGAGCUGCGAAAUCUUGGCUGGCACACAAAUGUAGGUGAGAUCACACUUCCUCGCUGAAAAAGUCAACUUCGAUCUUGCAUGGAACUUCAACGAGAGCCUCCAAGAGCAUGCCUUUAUAGUAUUAACUAUAGCUUUAAAGGUGUUGGAAAAUAAACUGAUCAUCUCUUUUUUCAACAUGGGAGGAUUAACUUGUGCAGCUACCUCACUCCAUCUUCG
RNAcentral lists this long non-coding RNA (17676 nucleotides) under Populus tremula. RNAcentral describes it as "long non-coding RNA (PTRE_LNC001886)". Lineage: Eukaryota; Viridiplantae; Streptophyta; Magnoliopsida; Malpighiales; Salicaceae. The record is from RNAcentral.